Molecule: ribosomal RNA, 400 nt
Filed under: uncultured bacterium
Lineage: Bacteria
Description: bacterial SSU rRNA
Rfam family: Bacterial small subunit ribosomal RNA
Source: RNAcentral
GAAUCUUAGACAAUGGGCGAAAGCCUGAUCUAGCCAUGCCGCGUGUGUGAUGAAGACCUUAGGGUCGUAAAGCACUUUCGCUGGGGAAGAUAAUGACUGUACCCAGUAAAGAAACCCCGGCUAACUCCGUGCCAGCAGCCGCGGUAAUACGGAGGGGGUUAGCGUUGUUCGGAAUUACUGGGCGUAAAGCGCGCGUAGGCGGAUUAGAAAGUUGGGGGUGAAAUCCCGGGGCUCAACCUCGGAACUGCCUCCAAAACUACUAGUCUAGAGUUCGAGAGAGGUGAGUGGAAUUCCGAGUGUAGAGGUGAAAUUCGUAGAUAUUCGGAGGAACACCAGUGGCGAAGGCGGCUCACUGGCUCGAUACUGACGCUGAGGUGCGAAAGUGUGGGGAGCAAACAGG